This 432-nucleotide ribosomal RNA is filed under the name uncultured bacterium. RNAcentral's name for it is "partial 16S ribosomal RNA". It matches the Rfam family "Bacterial small subunit ribosomal RNA", at positions 29 to 507 of the family's 1533-position model. The record is from RNAcentral.
AACGAACGCUGGCGGCAGGCCUAACACAUGCAAGUCGAGCGAGCAUUUCGGUGCUAGCGGCGGACGGGUGAGUAACGCGUGGGAACGUGCCCUUUUCUGCGGAAUAGUCCUGGGAAACUGGGGGUAAUACCGCAUACGCCCUUUUGGGGAAAGAUUUAUCGGAGAAGGAUCGGCCGCGUUGGAUUAGGUAGUUGGUGGGGUAAUGGCCCACCAAGCCGACGAUCCAUAGCUGGUUUGAGAGGAUGAUCAGCCACACUGGGACUGAGACACGGCCCAGACUCCUACGGGAGGCAGCAGUGGGGAAUCUUAGACAAUGGGGGCAACCCUGAUCUAGCCAUGCCGCGUGAGUGAUGAAGGCCUUAGGGUUGUAAAGCUCUUUCAGCUGGGAAGAUAAUGACGGUACCAGCAGAAGAAGCCCCGGCUAACUCCGUG